UGUUUUUGCCAGGGAGGGAAGAAAGAACAAACUUCAUGAUAUUUUAAUGGUGGAGAAACUGAGGCAAAUGACGCUAGGCACCAUGGAGCUUAAAAGUCAUAAGAAACUUUUAGAUUCCUUUAAUAUGAGAAACUAAGGUUCAGAGAGAGGUUAAUGUGAAAGGCUACAAAGAAGGCAGAAGUUCAUACACUCAGAGAAGCCACACUCUGCUAUAAGGUCAAAUGGAAAGGCUCAAAUAUCCCCCAAGGGUGCGGGAAAAACAUGGAUGGCAGGGUCCCAGGAUAUGCAGUGGGGUCCACAAGCAGGUGACUUUCAGUGAGGCAAGAGGGGAGAGACAUCAACCUGGAGAGUCUUAGGAGGCAUCAGCAAGACAAAAUGGUCUGGUAGUUCUCAGUACCAGAAAAAGCAGCCCCUUCACUUACUCCUUUGUUCAAAUCACAACCUUUGGGACAGGCGUCUUUUUCUCUCCAUUAUUUCCCAUCCUCUGAGCCACAGCACUUUCCCUCUGCCAUCACACCACCUGCCUGUUCCCUACCUCCACUGUGCCAUUGACAUCACAAUCGAGCCCUCUGUCCUGGCUAACAGUGGCCCCUACCUGUAUAACUCAGGGUCUGUAGACAUGGUUCUGGGAAAGCCAGACCAGAUCAGACAAGGAGAGGAGGAAGGUGGACUUUGAGCUCCAUGUGCCUUCAUGGCUGCCAAUGAUGCAGGGGCUCCUUGCUGCUCAGACCCAGAAGCAAAACAUAAAUAGGCAACAGAGUCCAAGUCCAAGUCACAGUGGAAGCCGAAGCCAAAGCCAGAGCCCCAGUCCCAUUGUCAGUCCCAGCCCUAGUCCACCCAGGACUGGUAACAGGACAGCACACUGCAGUAGCCAUCACUCCUCAUCCCAUGCCCAACCCCACACUCACUCCCACCAUUUGCAUAACACCAACCAUCAUCCCUCCAACACUUGUCCUACAAGAAGGAAGGCAACAGGGCUAGCAAAAAGAAAGGCCAAGAAAGGUCGGUCACCAUAUGGAAGGGAAAAACGAGCAGAUAGAAGAGCUCCAGUCCUGAAGAGAAAGUUCCCAGUCCUCUGGAGCAGGGGAAGCAGCCUCCACAGAGACAGAGACAGGCUCUGGAGCAGCCACACAGUCGUUAGCCUGGAGAGCAGCAGAGACAGCUCCAGGGAGACACCCAAGGAUGAGACACCUUACUGGGUAGGAGAACAGAGAUUCCUGAGAAGGAGAGAGGCAGUGACACCUGAUGAGCAGUGCAGACCAAUGGAGAGGCCCUCAAAAGCCUCACAGAGUAGGGGCAGCUCCUGGUAGGCGCUCCUGAUCAUCACAGGUGAGAUGCCUGCUCUGCUGGGG
This 1352-nucleotide long non-coding RNA is filed under the name Monodelphis domestica (gray short-tailed opossum). Its description in RNAcentral is "lncRNA (ENSMODG00000029931.2)". The record is from RNAcentral. Lineage: Eukaryota; Metazoa; Chordata; Mammalia; Didelphimorphia; Didelphidae.